Long non-coding RNA from Magallana angulata, 941 nucleotides. RefSeq lists it as uncharacterized. The record is from RefSeq and is a predicted model, not a curated record. The transcript has 3 exons. NCBI's taxonomy places the organism in Eukaryota, Metazoa, Mollusca, Bivalvia, Ostreida, Ostreidae.
UACCCAGAUAGCAAGCUUAUGUUGGCCCAACGUUGGCUUAUGGUUGUAAGGUUGGCUACAUAUCGCUGUUGGUUGAACGACGUUGGACCAACAUUGGACCAACCUUGUAUUUAUCACUGUUGGUGCAUUGGCAUCGUUCCAAUAUUGGACCAACGUAGUUCAUCCAACGUUGGAACAUAAACAUUGUGCCAACAUUGGGCCAAUAUCAAAUUGAUCUCGGUGGGCGCGAAUACACUGCACCGAUGUCGGGCCGACGGACUAAAAUGUGUGAAAUGUGUAAAAUAUAACGGUUACUAUAAAUAUAAAUGUAUUCAAAUGAAUUUCAGAUUUAGAAUUUUAGUUAAUUUUUUAAAAAUGUACAUGACUAUAUUAUGUGUGUCCAUCAUGAAGCAUUUUACUUGUCUACACUUUGAAUGAAAUGCAGCAUCAAUGCAUAGUAACUUUUCUGCACUCGUGAAUGAAACAUUACCGCCAAAAGAACGGUGAUGUCAUUUUUGACAAAUCCAUCAGAGUAACUUAACUUGAUCUUAUGCUAUCAUCAUGGCUGCCUGUAGGAAUAAUACAUCCUCCUGCUGAUGUUCAAACUCGGUGACAUGGCUGUCUCCUAUAUUAUUUGUGAAGAUGAAUAGAACCAUGCAGUUUAUCGGCUCAAGUUAAGGAACAUCUAAGCAGCAUUUUGCAGAAACGGGCUUUUGAAGUUAUCAACGAGGUCAGAACUAGAGAACUAAACUGGAACUGAACUAAACAUAGUGACCAAACGCAUUUACUGUGAUUCGUUAUUCAUCUGAUAGGGAAAGGGGAUGAAAAUAGGAGUAAAGAAAACAAAUGAAGAAGAUUGAAGGGAUGUGGAAGUAUAUAGAUCGACUAUAAAAAACCAUUUGAAAAUUUGAAUAUUGAUUAUAUUUCUGUGAGAAAACAAUAAAGAUUAGACUUACUGUUAA